GAUGAACGCUGGCGGCGUGCCUAAUACAUGCAAGUCGAGCGAACAGACGAGGAGCUUGCUCCUCUGACGUUAGCGGCGGACGGGGGAGUAACACGUGGAUAACCUACCUAUAAGACUGGGAUAACUUCGGGAAACCGGAGCUAAUACCGGAUAAUAUAUUGAACCGCAUGGUUCAAUAGUGAAAGACGGUUUUGCUGUCACUUAUAGAUGGAUCCGCGCCGCAUUAGCUAGUUGGUAAGGUAACGGCUUACCAAGGCAACGAUGCGUAGCCGACCUGAGAGGGUGAUCGGCCACACUGGAACUGAGACACGGUCCAGACUCCUACGGGAGGCAGCAGUAGGGAAUCUUCCGCAAUGGGCGAAAGCUUGACGGAGCAACGCCGCGUGAGUGAUGAAGGUCUUCGGAUCGUAAAACUCUGUUAUUAGGGAAGAACAAAUGUGUAAGUAACUAUGCACGUCUUGACGGUACCUAAUCAGAAAGCCACGGCUAACUACGUG
RNAcentral lists this ribosomal RNA (497 nucleotides) under uncultured bacterium. RNAcentral's name for it is "partial 16S ribosomal RNA". It matches the Rfam family "Bacterial small subunit ribosomal RNA", at positions 28 to 507 of the family's 1533-position model. The record is from RNAcentral.